GCGCCCGUAGCUCAGUUGGAUAGAGCACCGGCCUUCUAAGUCGGAAGUCGCAGGUUCGAGUCCUGCCGGGCGCGCCA
RNAcentral lists this transfer RNA (77 nucleotides) under Acidobacteriota bacterium. RNAcentral's name for it is "Acidobacteria bacterium tRNA-Arg". It matches the Rfam family "tRNA". From Rfam's summary of the family: Transfer RNA (tRNA) molecules are approximately 80 nucleotides in length. Their secondary structure includes four short double-helical elements and three loops (D, anti-codon, and T loops). Lineage: Bacteria; Pseudomonadati; Acidobacteriota. The record is from RNAcentral. RNAcentral also lists the same sequence under 1 other name.